This 245-nucleotide ribosomal RNA is filed under the name uncultured bacterium. RNAcentral's name for it is "partial 16S ribosomal RNA". It matches the Rfam family "Bacterial small subunit ribosomal RNA", at positions 524 to 768 of the family's 1533-position model. The record is from RNAcentral.
UACAGAGGGUGCAAGCGUUGUUCGGAAUUAUUGGGCGUAAAGGGCGCGUAGGCGGCCGCGUAUGUCCGGUGUGAAAGCCCACCUCUUAAAGGUGGAAUUGCAUCGGAAACUACGUGGCUGGAGUGUCGGAGAGGAUGGUGGAAUUCCUGGUGUAGAGGUGAAAUUCGUAGAUAUCAGGAGGAACACCGGUGGCGAAGGCGGCCAUCUGGACGACUACUGACGCUGAGGCGCGAAAGCGUGGGGAU